RNAcentral lists this ribosomal RNA (521 nucleotides) under Streptomyces thermospinosisporus. RNAcentral describes it as "bacterial SSU rRNA". It matches the Rfam family "Bacterial small subunit ribosomal RNA", at positions 380 to 911 of the family's 1533-position model. Lineage: Bacteria; Bacillati; Actinomycetota; Actinomycetes; Kitasatosporales; Streptomycetaceae. The record is from RNAcentral.
AGCCUGAUGCAGCGACGCCGCGUGAGGGAUGACGGCCUUCGGGUUGUAAAAGACUUUCAGCAGGGAAGAAGCGAAAGUGACGGUACCUGCAGAAGAAGCGCCGGCUAACUACGUGCCAGCAGCCGCGGUAAUACGUAGGGCGCAAGCGUUGUCCGGAAUUAUUGGGCGUAAAGAGCUCGUAGGCGGCUUGUCGCGUCGGUUGUGAAAGCCCGGGGCUUAACCCCGGGUCUGCAGUCGAUACGGGCAGGCUAGAGUUCGGUAGGGGAGAUCGGAAUUCCUGGUGUAGCGGUGAAAUGCGCAGAUAUCAGGAGGAACACCGGUGGCGAAGGCGGAUCUCUGGGCCGAUACUGACGCUGAGGAGCGAAAGCGUGGGGAGCGAACAGGAUUAGAUACCCUGGUAGUCCACGCCGUAAACGGUGGGCACUAGGUGUGGGCAACAUUCCACGUUGUCCGUGCCGCAGCUAACGCAUUAAGUGCCCCGCCUGGGGAGUACGGCCGCAAGGCUAAAACUCAAAUGAAUU